AGAACGAACGCUGGCGGCAUGCCUAACACAUGCAAGUCGAACGGGACCUUCGGGUCUAGUGGCGCACGGGUGCGUAACGCGUGGGAAUCUGCCCUUAGGUACGGAAUAACUCAGGGAAACUUGAGCUAAUACCGUAUAAUGACUUCGGUCCAAAGAUUUAUCGCCUAGGGAUGAGCCCGCGUAGGAUUAGCUUGUUGGUGAGGUAAAAGCUCACCAAGGCGACGAUCCUUAGCUGGUCUGAGAGGAUGAUCAGCCACACUGGGACUGAGACACGGCCCAGACUCCUACGGGAGGCAGCAGUGGGGAAUAUUGGACAAUGGGCGAAAGCCUGAUCCAGCAAUGCCGCGUGAGUGAUGAAGGCCUUAGGGUUGUAAAGCUCUUUACCCGGGAUGAUAAUGACAGUACCGGAGAAUAAGCUCCGGCUAACUCCGUGCCAGCAGCCGC
Molecule: ribosomal RNA, 444 nt
Filed under: uncultured bacterium
Lineage: Bacteria
Description: SSU rRNA
Rfam family: Bacterial small subunit ribosomal RNA
Source: RNAcentral